AAUGUCGUCCUACUCAUUCCGCCGCUAAUGGUCGCGACCGACACCGUAUCUGCUAGGAGGAACCGUGCCACACCGCCCCGAGGAGCUGGAGCCCCUCACCCCGUCGCGGUCGACCGAACGGUUGCACCGCGAGAUGCAAAACCUCGAGGGGCUGAUGAAGGACCUCUCAGCCAUCACGCAGCAGCAGUUCCACUGCUAGCCGCCACCGCGCACGCGGAUCGACUUGGGCGUCCUCGACGUAGAAGUCCACUUUCACAUUACACCUAUGCAUGGGCUCUUCAACCACCACUUCAACGAAUUGACUGGCAAUAAGUAUGUCAUAAACAGAGUUGGAACUUUUAUAACACACUGUAAGGAAAGACAGAGCUAGGUUGCGACCGGGUUAGCUCCAUUACUUUUAGCGUAAACUUAAGAUAUUAUGGACGUGGUCGCAGGCCGAGGUGGUCAUUAGAUUUGCGCAACAUGUGGUCGUUGAAUGCACAGCAAGUUAAACAAAUGAACUCACGACAAAAGUUCAGCAACUGUGUAUGAAUUGAAACUAAACGUAUUUUUAAGUAUUUACCAAUUGUUUAGAUGUGAUGAAUCCCUACAUACUAACAAAAAUGACCAAUUGUGAUCACGUUCCGUCAAGAUCAGAAAGUACUUUGCACAUUUCCCACGCUCAAAUCAAAACAAAAUUUUAUAGUGGAAAUAUUUAGACAAAUAUUCAUUAACAUUGUUUUACAAACACUGUAUACAAUUCAUGGGUUUGUGACUAAAAUAUAAUAAUAUGUAAUGUCUCCUAAUGUCUCUCCUAAUUAGUUUCAAACAUCAAUAUAGGGAAGAUGAAAUAUUAUAAGAUUGACAAAGACCCUUCGCGUGUUGCAUUAUUUUCCAUCAUAAAUAAUUUAUUUUGCUUUGCUGACUCAAAGUUUUAAACUGUUCCUUAAAUAUUCUCCAAAAAACGUUCCAAACAGCCUCAACAUUUUCGUAUCAAUUUUUUUAUGGAUUGUAAAGAUUACAAUUCACGACAGACGUUUAUGCAAUGAAUUGAAUUUAACUUAUGUGUUCGUAUGUCCAUAGGUUUUUGUACCAUUCUAAUUAAAUUCAAAUGUGCCUCGUAACAUCCUAGAUGAUAUUAGGGUUCCAAGUUGGAGCCUAGAUUUUGAGGAGAAGGAUUUUGAAAAGAAAAAGGAUCCUAGAAAACUAUUAGCGUGAUUUUAGAUUUUUAGUUUAAUUUCUAUCUACCCUGUUUUGACCUAUUUACCCCUGUAGUGUUAUAUACUUUCUUAGUGUAUUAUACAUACUUGUGAUUCGUAUACCUUAUACAUAUAGCUGUUAUUGUAUAUAAUUAAGUAUGUAAGUCUUAACUUUAACAUAAACGUACUAAAAUUUACGAAUUUCGAACAAUGGAAGUAAUUUUUGUGUUCAUCAUGUCUUGCCUAGUUUUUAUUUUAAUGUUAAAAGCUUCUUGAUAAGCUAGUCAUAUUGUACUGUGUACUGACAGGUAGCGACGUGGGCAACCAACCAUCUAUACUCCUCUUAACUGCUAAGUUAAAUACUAUAUAUACCCCAUCUCCCGCUUUCACUAUCGCGCCUGUCUCCCACUGAGGUAGGCAGAGACCACACUCCUAGCAAACUCCUUUCGCCUCCUCCACUUGCAUCAGUCUCAACACUCAUGCCUGUUUAUUUUUGAUAGAAUAUCCUCAAUCUGAUUUGAGAAUUAUUUUAACGAAAAAACUUUAACAACCUUACACGCCUGACGUAUGUGAAAAGCUGUAUAUUUUAUGAAGAAAGGCGUUUUGAGACUGUUGUUUUCGACGUCCGCCAUAUUGAUUGCUGACGUUACUUUUCACGUUUACUUCUUCCGCUUCCACGUAAUCGAGUAAGGCCAUUUUAAACAAAAAUUUACAGCACAAUUAUUUCUAAAAACUUCGAAACGAACAACC
Molecule: long non-coding RNA, 1928 nt
Organism: Hyposmocoma kahamanoa
Lineage: Eukaryota; Metazoa; Arthropoda; Insecta; Lepidoptera; Cosmopterigidae
Exons: 2
Source: RefSeq, a predicted model, not a curated record